Molecule: ribosomal RNA, 900 nt
Filed under: Staphylococcus aureus
Lineage: Bacteria; Bacillati; Bacillota; Bacilli; Caryophanales; Staphylococcaceae
Description: partial 23S ribosomal RNA
Rfam family: Bacterial large subunit ribosomal RNA
Source: RNAcentral
UAAGGGCGCACGGUGGAUGCCUUGGCACUAGAAGCCGAUGAAGGACGUUACUAACGACGAUAUGCUUUGGGGAGCUGUAAGUAAGCUUUGAUCCAGAGAUUUCCGAAUGGGGAAACCCAGCAUGAGUUAUGUCAUGUUAUCGAUAUGUGAAUACAUAGCAUAUCAGAAGGCACACCCGGAGAACUGAAACAUCUUAGUACCCGGAGGAAGAGAAAGAAAAUUCGAUUCCCUUAGUAGCGGCGAGCGAAACGGGAAGAGCCCAAACCAACAAGCUUGCUUGUUGGGGUUGUAGGACACUCUAUACGGAGUUACAAAGGACGACAUUAGACGAAUCAUCUGGAAAGAUGAAUCAAAGAAGGUAAUAAUCCUGUAGUCGAAAAUGUUGUCUCUCUUGAGUGGAUCCUGAGUACGACGGAGCACGUGAAAUUCCGUCGGAAUCUGGGAGGACCAUCUCCUAAGGCUAAAUACUCUCUAGUGACCGAUAGUGAACCAGUACCGUGAGGGAAAGGUGAAAAGCACCCCGGAAGGGGAGUGAAAUAGAACCUGAAACCGUGUGCUUACAAGUAGUCAGAGCCCGUUAAUGGGUGAUGGCGUGCCUUUUGUAGAAUGAACCGGCGAGUUACGAUUUGAUGCAAGGUUAAGCAGUAAAUGUGGAGCCGUAGCGAAAGCGAGUCUGAAUAGGGCGUUUAGUAUUUGGUCGUAGACCCGAAACCAGGUGAUCUACCCUUGGUCAGGUUGAAGUUCAGGUAACACUGAAUGGAGGACCGAACCGACUUACGUUGAAAAGUGAGCGGAUGAACUGAGGGUAGCGGAGAAAUUCCAAUCGAACCUGGAGAUAGCUGGUUCUCUCCGAAAUAGCUUUAGGGCUAGCCUCAAGUGAUGAUUAUUGGAGGUAGAGCA